This 505-nucleotide ribosomal RNA is filed under the name uncultured bacterium. RNAcentral describes it as "partial 16S ribosomal RNA". It matches the Rfam family "Bacterial small subunit ribosomal RNA", at positions 30 to 523 of the family's 1533-position model. The record is from RNAcentral.
AUUGAACGCUGGCGGUAGGCCUAACACAUGCAAGUCGAACGGCAGCACAGGAGAGCUUGCUCUCUGGGUGGCGAGUGGCGGACGGGUGAGGAAUACAUCGGAAUCUACUUUUUCGUGGGGGAUAACGUAGGGAAACUUACGCUAAUACCGCAUACGACCUACGGGUGAAAGCAGGGGACCUUCGGGCCUUGCGCGAUUGAAUGAGCCGAUGUCGGAUUAGCUAGUUGGCGGGGUAAAGGCCCACCAAGGCGACGAUCCGUAGCUGGUCUGAGAGGAUGAUCAGCCACACUGGAACUGAGACACGGUCCAGACUCCUACGGGAGGCAGCAGUGGGGAAUAUUGGACAAUGGGCGCAAGCCUGAUCCAGCCAUACCGCGUGGGUGAAGAAGGCCUUCGGGUUGUAAAGCCCUUUUGUUGGAAAGAAAUCCAGCUGGCUAAUACCCGGUUGGGAUGACGGUACCCAAAGAAUAAGCACCGGCUAACUUCGUGCCAGCCGCCGCGGUAA